This 211-nucleotide ribosomal RNA is filed under the name uncultured bacterium. Its description in RNAcentral is "partial 16S ribosomal RNA". It matches the Rfam family "Bacterial small subunit ribosomal RNA", at positions 524 to 727 of the family's 1533-position model. The record is from RNAcentral.
UACGUAGGGUGCGAGCGUUGUCCGGAAUUAUUGGGCGUAAAGGGCUCGUAGGCGGUUUUGUCGCGUCGGGGAGUGAAAACUCAGGGCUUAACCCUGAGCCUGCUUCCGAUACGGGCAGACUAGAGGUAUGCAGGGGGAGAACGGAAUUCCUGGUGUAGCGGUGAAAUGCGCAGAAUAAUCAGGAGGAACACCGGUGGCGAAAGGGCGGGUU